This is a long non-coding RNA of Etheostoma cragini (Arkansas darter), 1418 nucleotides long. RefSeq lists it as uncharacterized. The transcript has 2 exons. The record is from RefSeq and is a predicted model, not a curated record. NCBI's taxonomy places the organism in Eukaryota, Metazoa, Chordata, Actinopteri, Perciformes, Percidae.
GAAGGCCCAGGGAAAGGUCACAGAAACAGAGCAUGCAGAAUCCAACCAGCACACACUGCUGAUACGGUGGAAUGGACCAGCGAGAGAGAACUUGUAAUUCCACGGGUUCGGCUCUGCUUUGAGGCAGAACUCCUGUUUUCACAGCCUCAAUGACGCAUUGUGCACACAUGCACAGGCUUCAUAUGCGCCAUUCACAGGGCGCCACAAAGGCCAAACGGCGCUUCCAGCCCUGAUCUCAAUUCUCUCUCUCACACACACACACACACACACACACCUCCAAGGCACUUGGCAUGAGCCACUUUUCUGUAGCUCUGCUCUCUGUGGCAGCAACAUAUGGCUCUAAAAGAAGGACUCUGUGCGGCCAUGUGUCUCAGAUUGGAGGAUUACGCGCACACAGGCCUGCAAUGAAUUCGUAAUAAAACAAAGUGGUGGCGUGCACACCCAUAGCUGGCGGAUAAAGGAAUCACAAGGCCAAAUAUCCAGUCCACACGUGUGCACCGAGCACAUGAGGCCAGGAGCCCCCGGACACCGAGAACGGGGCCCGUGGGGAGCUUUUAGGGGGUUUCAAGCUUUAACAAAAAUAGAAAUAGUUUUAAAAAACUGCGAUUGUGCAACGCUUCACAUGAUGAACGUGAGAGUAUGAAUGUGCAUGCAUGCAGAGGUCAAUGCAGGAGGAGAGGCAGGGGGGGGGGGGGGUGGACGUUCGCAAAAAUAAUUACAGUAAAACUGGAAAUGUGUAAUUUCGCUAAAAAUGUAAGUUAGGCAAUUGUAUGUUUUUAUGCAUAUAUUUAUUGCACAAGUUGCAGCACACAACACACACACACACACAAAGUUGUGUGUGUCAUUGCAGUGUUUUUUAGAUUUUAGUAUUCUUUAUGUUCGGCAGGUUGCAUUGUGUUACCAUGACUCCUCGACUUUGGCACAAUAAUUAAUUAAUGUGCAGUUUGAAUAUUGCUCAACUGAGUCUGCACAUUUCAACGCCCAUGAUCUGUUCUAAAACACCACUUGUCCAUGUUAGAGCAUUAGCACGCAGUUUGAUGACUAUCUUUCUGUGUGAACGUCAGCUGCGUGUUAACUGGGCCACACUGGGGCUCCUGCGUGCUGAUCAGUCCAUCUGAAGAAUAAAAUCAACGUCUCUCUCUUUUCCCCCAGGGACCCCUGGAGAGACACUCAGCGGCCUGACAACACGUGGCUUACCGUAGGUCCGAACUCGGGCCAUGUCACUUCGCCUGCGGCUUGAGGGGAUGGGUAGCCUUAGGGGUUGGUUGUUAUCUUUGGUUAUCUAGCUGUAUGAGUGAUGUACAUUCUUCAUAAAGCUAGAUAACCGAAAGUAACAAGAAUCCCAUUACACUCCUGAAAAGGCAUCAAGACCCCAAACGGGCCCCCCUCAAAAAACAAAAACGAAGAACAAACUGCAA